Molecule: ribosomal RNA, 253 nt
Filed under: uncultured bacterium
Lineage: Bacteria
Description: partial 16S ribosomal RNA
Rfam family: Bacterial small subunit ribosomal RNA
Source: RNAcentral
UACGUAGGGUGCGAGCGUUAAUCGAAAUUACUGGGCGUAAAGCGUGCGCAGGCGGCGCGUUAAGACAGGUGUGAAAGCCCCGAGCUUAACUUGGGAAUUGCGCUUGUGACUGGCGUGCUGGAGUGUGGCAGAGGGAGGUGGAAUUCCACGUGUAGCAGUGAAAUGCGUAGAGAUGUGGAGGAACACCGAUGGCGAAGGCAGCCUCCUGGGCCAGCACUGACGCUCAUGCACGAAAGCGUGGGGAGCAAACAGG